GUGACAUCAUCGCAGGUCCUGCAGCCCCAGGAGGUGAGAUCUGCAGGUACAGGACUCCCUAAUUUUUUUUAAAGACAAUGGUCCUUUCCAUCGAUGACCCACCAAGGAUGGAGAAGGACAGCAACCACAUGGCUGCAAUGAUAUUAGACCUCACCCUGGAGAUCAUCUCCUUGAUAACUGGAGAGGAUUACACAGUAGUGAAGAAGUCGUCUGGUGAGUGUGUGACACCC
Bufo gargarizans (Asiatic toad) is the source of this 230-nucleotide long non-coding RNA. RefSeq lists it as uncharacterized. The record is from RefSeq and is a predicted model, not a curated record. Lineage: Eukaryota; Metazoa; Chordata; Amphibia; Anura; Bufonidae. The transcript is spliced from 3 exons.